This 482-nucleotide ribosomal RNA is filed under the name uncultured bacterium. Its description in RNAcentral is "bacterial SSU rRNA". It matches the Rfam family "Bacterial small subunit ribosomal RNA", at positions 29 to 506 of the family's 1533-position model. The record is from RNAcentral.
UUGAACGCUGGCGGCAUGCUUUACACAUGCAAGUCGAACGGCAGCGGGGGCUUCGGCCCGCCGGCGAGUGGCGAACGGGUGAGUAAUGCAUCGGAACGUACCCAGUCGUGGGGGAUAACUACGCGAAAGCGUAGCUAACACCGCAUACGCCCUGAGGGGGAAAGCGGGGGACCUUCGGGCCUCGCGCGGUUGGAGCGGCUGAUGUCGGAUUAGCUAGUUGGUGGGGUAAAGGCCUACCAAGGCGACGAUCCGUAGCUGGUCUGAGAGGAUGAUCAGCCACACUGGGACUGAGACACGGCCCAGACUCCUACGGGAGGCAGCAGUGGGGAAUUUUGGACAAUGGGCGCAAGCCUGAUCCAGCCAUGCCGCGUGAGUGAAGAAGGCCUUCGGGUUGUAAAGCUCUUUCGGCAGGAACGAAACGGUGGGGUCUAAUACGCCUUACUAAUGACGGUACCUGAAGAAGAAGCACCGGCUAACUACGU